RNAcentral lists this ribosomal RNA (181 nucleotides) under uncultured Eubacteriales bacterium. Its description in RNAcentral is "uncultured Clostridiales bacterium partial 16S ribosomal RNA". It matches the Rfam family "Bacterial small subunit ribosomal RNA", at positions 153 to 334 of the family's 1533-position model. The record is from RNAcentral. Lineage: Bacteria; Bacillati; Bacillota; Clostridia; Eubacteriales.
GAAACGACGAAUAAUACCCUAUGAUGUUUCUAUCUCGCAUGAGAUAUUAACCAAAGUGUUAGCGGUGUAAGAUGGACUUGCGUCUGAUUAGCUAGUUGGUGAGAAAAAGACCCACCAAGGCAACGAUCAGUAGCCGGCUUGAGAGAGUGUACGGCCACAUUGGGACUGAGACGCGGCCCAG